RNAcentral lists this ribosomal RNA (979 nucleotides) under Ditylum brightwellii. RNAcentral's name for it is "partial Bacterial large subunit ribosomal RNA". Lineage: Eukaryota; Bacillariophyta; Thalassiosirophyceae; Lithodesmiales; Lithodesmiaceae. The record is from RNAcentral.
GCUAUCCAGUGCUCUACCUCCGGCAAGAAACACGUGACGCUGCACCUAAAUGCAUUUCGGGGAGAACCAGCUAUCACGGAGUUUGAUUGGCCUUUCACCCCUACCCACAGCUCAUCCCCGCAGUUUUUAACCUACGUGGGUUCGCGCCUCCACAACCUCUUACAGCUGCUUCACACUGGCCAUGGGUAGAUCACCCCGCUUCGGGUCCAGGACAUGCCACUAUACACCCCAUUAGGAUUCGGUUUCCCUACGGCUACCCCACACGGGUUAACCUCGCGACAUGCCGCUGACUCGCAGGCUCAUUCUUCAAAAGGCACGCCAUCACCACACAGGCUCUGACGGCUUGCAUGCGACCGGUUUCAGGAACUCUUUCACUCCCCUCCCGGGGUACUUUUCACCCUUCCCUCACGGUACUCAUCCACUAUCGGUCACCAAGGAGUAUUUAGGCUUGACGGGUGGUCCCGCCAGAUUCACGCGAAAUUCCACGAGUCCCACGCUACUCGGGGCAACCCCACACCAGUGCCACGCUUACAGUUACAGGACUCUCACCCACUCCGGUACGCCUUCCCAGACGCUUCACCUUCACGCAACAUUUCUCACUGGCCAAUCCUGCGGCAGCAGAACCACAAGGCCCCCACAACCCCGCACAUGCAACACCUGCCGGCUUGAACACACACACGGUUUAGCCUCCUCCGCUUUCGCUCGCCACUACUCACGGAAUCACACUUGUUUUCUCUUCCUACGGGUACUAAGAUGUUUCACUUCCCCGCGUUACCACCCACACCCCUAUACAUUCAGGGCAGGGCCACCGGACACUACUCCGGACAUUCCAGGUUUCCCCAUUCGGACACCCCCGGAUCACAGCUCGCUCACCAACUCCCCAGGGCUUAUCGCAGGUCACAACGUCCUUCAUCGGCUCUUGGUGCCAAGGCAUCCACCGAUCGCACUACACAACUUUGCUCCCCAUUCGGACACCCCC